GGAGGAAUUCCCGAGUGGCUAAAGGGGGCAGACUGUAAAUCUGCUGUCUACGACUUCGAUGGUUCGAAUCCAUCUUCCUCCA
Molecule: transfer RNA, 82 nt
Filed under: Clostridium putrefaciens
Lineage: Bacteria; Bacillati; Bacillota; Clostridia; Eubacteriales; Clostridiaceae
Also listed under: 1 other name
Rfam family: tRNA
About the family: Transfer RNA (tRNA) molecules are approximately 80 nucleotides in length. Their secondary structure includes four short double-helical elements and three loops (D, anti-codon, and T loops).
Source: Rfam by way of RNAcentral